This 253-nucleotide ribosomal RNA is filed under the name uncultured bacterium. Its description in RNAcentral is "partial 16S ribosomal RNA". It matches the Rfam family "Bacterial small subunit ribosomal RNA", at positions 524 to 776 of the family's 1533-position model. The record is from RNAcentral.
UACGAACCGUACAAACGUUAUUCGGAAUCACUGGGCUUAAAGGGUGCGUAGGCGGCCAUGUAAGUGAGGUGUGAAAUCCCUCGGCUCAACCGAGGAACUGCGCUUCGUACUGCAUGGCUUGAGGGAGACAGGGGUAAGCGGAACUGAUGGUGGAGCGGUGAAAUGCGUUGAUAUCAUCAGGAACACCGGUGGCGAAAGCGGCUUACUGGGUCUCUUCUGACGCUGAGGUACGAAAGCUAGGGUAGCGAACGGG